CUGAGUCAAAGCAAGCCAGGGAAUUAAUGCAAAAAGGCUCAAGCUUCUGUGCCCCUGGGAAAUGGCAGAGGAAGACAGCUUCAGCCUCAGAGCACACAGCACUGAGUUGUAAGAAACAGGUCUCAUCAUCCCCUUGGCCAGCAGAUUUUCACCCUGGGCCCACUAAGAAGCCUGCCAGGGGGUCCUCUGUUGUCUGGACCCUGAGGCUUCAUCCUCAAUGUGUUGGAGCCUAGGAGAGAGGAUUAGAGUUAUGCGGUAGGUGUGGGAGUUGUGUUUGAUGGGCUAGGAGUUGGGUGAGGAGGGAUCCUCAGUUUUGGGUAAAGGCAAAAAGGCAAGGAAGCCAGGAAAAAGCAAGGAGUUGGAAUAAAGACAGAGUGUGGGAGAAAGAGAGUGAGCUGGGUACAGGGGUGGGAGCAGAUGUAGAAGGAGGAGGACAGAGAAUCUGACUCAGGAUUGAGACAGCCCGUGGGAAGUGGAUCCCUAGCGUAGGAACAGGAGAGAGCCAGAGAGGAGAGGUAAGAGGGGGCAAGAUUCGGGGGUUAAGUAGAGGCAAGCCGGCAGGCAAGCACUGCAUGGCUAGUUGAGAAUGGAAAGGGGACGUGGUGAUCUAGGAAGUUUCUGUUUAAAGGCAGAGAGUGUAUGGUCAGGCAGGGGCUGUAUCUAUUUUCUUGUUUGUUUAUUCUGUUGUUUGUUUGUUUGUUUGUUUUGAGACAGAGUUUCCCAACGGUGCAGUCUCUACUCACCGCAACCUCUGCCUCCCGGGUUCAAGCAAUUCUCCUGCCUCAUUCUCUUGGGUAGCUGGGAUUACAAGCAUGCGCCACCACUCCCAGCUAAUUUUGUAUUUUUAGUAGAGAUGGGGUUUCUCCAUGUUGGUCAGGCUGGUCUCGAACUCCUGACCUCAGGUGAUCCGCCCAGCUCAGCUUCCCAAAGUCCUGGGAUUCCAGGCAUAAGCCACUGCGCCUGGCCUGUUUCUAUUUUCUUUUGCCAGGCAGGUUAUGUUAUACUGGGGUUUCUUGCUGAGGUCUGUCCUGGGACUGUCUGAGGUGUCACAAAGAGCCCACAGGUACAGACGAGAAAUUUGAAAGUGAAUCCAGACGCAGCAGAUGACAGCAAGAUGGGACUCCAAGUUCUCUUUCUAGAAAUUACAAGCUGCUCCGCUACCCACACAUGUAGCUCAUUCUCCCUGUGGCCAAGACACUCCUGUGCCUGAGGGAAAGGCAAUGCCUGCGGCAGAAACGGAGCGGUCCCCCAGCCAGGGGAGAGAGUGGCACCUAGUAUGGUACCCAAUGCUCUAAGGCAUGGAGCUGAUUGACUGCUGACUGUAGACCAGCCACUCACCACAGUGUAGGUUGGAAGCCUUCUAAGGCCGUGCGUUCUGCAGAGUCAGCCCAUGAUGGGGCCAGGAGUGUGGGCUCCAGUGUCACCCCCUUGGGAUUUAAUCCUGGCUGCACCUCUGGGGGCCUUGGGAGAGUAUAAGGGAAAGAAAUAGUCCCUUCCUUUCUUUGGAGAGAAGGAAUCCACAAGCUGGAAGGAGGGACCCUGGCACGAAGAAAGGCACAGGCCCCUCCAUAACUUGUUUCUACCACUCCCCUUUGAGGGCCCCUGGGGAAGGUUGGUUAGUCUUGAAUCUGUGCCCAGGAGAAACCAAAAAUCCUUAGUGGGGUUUCUCCCUGUCCUAGGCCUCCUGUCAGAGCUAGCGGAGAUCUGCUGGAAGGAGGCCGGGAGGAGGGGAUGUACGGAUGCCAUCAUGCCUGGAUGGAGGACCAGAAGGUCUUUAUAACAAGUAUUUGUGGAGCUCCUAAUAUGUGCCAAACUGUGGUAGACCUGGAUACCCAGAAACACGGCCACUCCCCUAAAGGAGGUUGCAGGCUAUACCAAUUAAAAUAAUUAUCUCAGUCCCUUCUUAUCAACAGAGUCGUCCAUGGAGACUAUUUCUCCCCCUGCCCCAGGCACACAGAAGCCUUGAGGCUUUCAUUGUGGCCCCACGGUGACAGCACACCCAGGUGGCACUCUCAGCUUAUCACUGAUUUGCAGAGCUGCUGUCUUGCAGCUAAAAGCAAUGUGCUGGUGGAUUUUUAAAAAGAAGUUCUGAGAGGCUUCUUAGAAGGUCUUUCUCCACAUCACUAACUAUUCGGAUUCCGGAGCACGGUGCCAAGCCCCUCCAUUUACUGCAGCCUUGCCCUUCCUCUCAAGAUCCAGCCGCUAAUGCUAUGGGAUGGCUGGUGGCCCCACUUGGGCUCCCCCAACCCCCACCUCGACCCCUAGCUUCCGCCUGUUUGGAGCUGUUAUCAGAGGAAACAGACUUGAACAUGACGGAGUUGCUGUCUCUUGGGCCUGACCAGAGAGUUGUGUUUUCUUGGCCUAUAUCACCUCAGAUUUAUCCUCGGCCUGACCGCAGUCAUUAUCAGCUAAAUUCACCAUCUCUAGAUGCCCAGAAGAUUUCAAAAGUGGACUAUAGGCUGCCAGUUGGUGUUAGAGUUCAGAGAAUCCCUGGACUUCAGCACUAGAAAGGAGCAGCUGCUAUGUCGGGGGUGUCAGGGGCUGGAUGCAGGGGCUGUUGCACUGAUCCCAGCUUGCUCCAUUCACAAGCCCCUCAUCCAUCUCUGAAGACUGGGACCAAAGCCAGGGCUGGGGCAGGCCUCUCUGGGCACAGGGGCCUGUUAGCAUUGGUUUCAUUCCUUCACCAAGAGGCCUAAAGACAUUGGAAUGAUGAGGCAAUUAAUGUGAAACAGAAACAAGUGGCUUUAGUUCCAGGCAUUUGAAACUGAAAGGAAGCUGUUGACAUUCUUUGAGACCCACUCUAGGCUAUGAUUUUUGCUGUGCUAGCCAGAACUCUGCUACUUACUUGAAGUAGGACCUUGGGAAAGUCCCUUCUCUAGGUCUCAAUUUCCUCAUAUGUAAAAGUGCAUCUGGGAUUAGUCAAGACCCUUCCAAGCCUGACAUGCUAUGGUCUAAGUGUCCCAGUAAUCUCUCUGUCACCCAGGGAUCAAAGAUUUACAGAUGUGUAGGAGAGAUGGGGAGGAACACACUAAGAUAUGUCCUUGUGAGUUUAGUUAACUAAAAGACUGGGGGAAAGAAAGGGAAGUAAGAAAAUAAAGUGAAAAGGUGGAAGAAGGCAGAGUGUAAAAGAGGGAGAUAAGGAAAGUACAAAAGAUAGAGAUGUCUGCUGCAAUUUCUCAGUACUCUUCAGAUACAUCCUGGCCAGGUUUACUUUCUUAGGGGCAGGGUAGAUUGUGAGGGUGUGGAAAAUGGUAUUUUUUCAAAGAGAGUCACAAUAGUAUUGCCAUCUCACAUGCUGUUAUACAAUGUGAUCUUGCCAUUUCUCUACCAAGAUAAAUGCAGUCUAGUUUCUCUCCCUUUAAAUCUGAGCUGGCCGUAAGACUUGCAUGAACAAUAAAAUGUGGUGGAAGUUAUUCCAAGUGACUUCUGAGGCUUGGUCAGAAGCAGCUUUCCCUUAGUUACUUUGAGACAUUUGUUCUGAGGGAAGCCAAUCUGACUACCUGAGGCCAUUGUGCUGGAGAAGCCACACAUUGGCAUUCCUGUUGACAAUCCUAGCUGAACCCUGCCUUCUAAUCAUUUCCCUCAAGGCUUAUCAAAUAAGUGAAUGAAGCUAUCUUGGACUCUCCAGACCAGCCCAUGCUGCAGCUAAGUAUUACUGAUCAAUUUCACUUUAUACCACAGGGAGCGGAAGAAUCACCUAGCUGAGCCCUACCCAAAUUCCUGCUGUGUUUGUGCCUAGAUUUUUUUUAUAAAACAAAACACACUGGAACAGGAUGGCAGGAGAUUUUUUUGUUUUUGUUUUUUAAACGCUUGUUUCAAACAGCAAUGAAAAAUCCUUAAAAAUGUAUAAAUAAGACUUCAAGAUUUUAGAGGUGUGAAAUUUCAAAAGAAAUCUGGAGGCUGGGCGUGGUGGCUCACGCCUGUAAUCCCAGCACUUUGGGAGGCUGAGGCAGGUGGAUCACAAGGUCAGGAGAUCGAGACCAUCCUGGCUAACACAGUGAAACCCCGUCUCUACUAAAAAAUACAAAAAAUUAACUGGGCGUGGUGGCAGGCGCCUAUAGUCCCAGGUACUCAGGAGGCUGAGGCAGGAGAAUGGCAUGAACCUGGGAGGUGGAGCUUGCAGUGAGCCAAGAUCGUGCCACUGCACUCCAGCCUGGGUGACAGAGUAAGAUUCCGUCUCAAAAAAAAAAAAAAAAGAAAUCUGGAAGCCAACUUUCAAUUUGCCCAUUAAGGACUUUAGUACAAAACUACCAUCUUCUAUAGGUCAUUAUAUCGUUUUUGUUUUUGAGACAGAGUCUCACUCUGCCACACACAUUGCAGUGCAGUGGCGCAGUCUUGGUUCACUGCACCCUCCCUGUCCCAGGCUCAAAUCGUCCUCCCACCUCAGCCUUCCAAGUAGCCAGGAAUACAGGUAUGCACUACCAUGCCCAACUAAUUUUUAAUUUUUUUUUAGUAGAGAUGAGGUCUCAAUGAAGCAGUGUUGUUGCCUGGGGUAAAUACCCGGGUUCAUCAUCUCGAGCCAAGAAGAUUAAGGACAUGAACACACAUGAAGAGUAAGUUUAGGAGCAGAGGUUUAAUAGGCAAAAGAAAGAGAAAGGAGAACAGCUCUCUCCCUUGCAAAAGAGAGGGGCUCCCAAAGGGGAAAACCCAGCCUGCGGUGGACUACACCCGAUUUUAUAGGCAAGCUUGAGAAGGCAGUGUCUGAUUUAUGUAGGGUUCACAGAUUGGUUUGACCAGUAUGAUGUUUACAUAGUAUUCACGGAAGGCUGCAUGCCCCACCCUAAUCUUAUUAUGUAAAUGGAGUCUUUGCCUGGCUGGCGCCAUAUUGUCUUCUCCUUACUGUACAUGUGGUUUGACAAAGGGAAGGGAAGAUGAAGCUGCCAUUUUGAACAUGCCUAGUCCCAGGUAGCCUUUUCCUGUUGGCACAACUGCUGGCAUUCACCUGUACAAGCUUCCAGCUUGCUUACCUAUGUCUGCAGCUCGAUUUUACAGGCUGCUCUUUGUAGAAAAAAAAACAAAAAACUAUUUUGAGACUGCUUUUCAUGAAAAGAAAAACCUUACCAAGGACUCCCAGACCCUCACUAUCUGCCUAAGUAAUUUCUUCUUAACUCCUGUAUCAUUACUAUAUUGCCCAGGCUGGUCUCAAAUUCCUGGGCUCAAGUGAUCCUCCCACCUUAGCCUCCCAAAGUGCUAGGAUUACAGGCAUGAGCCACUGUGCCCAGCCAUGUUGUAUUUUUUAAAGUACAGUUUAUCAUGAAAAAGGGAGAAAAGGUACUACAUCCAACCAGAAUGGCUAAAAUGAAAGAGAUAAACACUAUCAAAUUUUGACAAAGAUAUGAAACAACCAGAACUCUCAUAUAUGCCUGGUGGCAGUGUAAAAUGGCAUAGCCACUUUAGGAAAUAGCUUGGUAGUAUCCACUAAAGCUGAAAAUAUGCAUAUAUUCAAUUGUAUUCUUAAGUAUAUAUCCUACAAAAAUUUAUGAGCGUUUUAACCAAAAGAUCUGUGUACAAAUGUCCAUAGCAGUAAUCUUUUCUUUUUUUUUUUUUUUUUUUUUUUUUUUUGCUCCAGUCAAGGGAGAAGCAGUGAUGUUUUAGUAUCCAGAAAGUGGAAAUAACCCAAAUGCCCAUCAACAGCAGAAUGAAAUUGUACUAUAUUCACACCAUGGAAUAUUGUAUAGCAAAGAGAAUGAAUGAACUAUUAACAGAAAAGACAUGGACAAAUCUCAUAAACAUGAUGCUGAAAGAAACCACAGUCAAAAAAGAAGAUGCUUCCCAACCUUUUGCAGACCAUGGCAUACGCAGAAAAUGACAACAUCGGAAUGGCACACUGGCAUACCAGUUGGGGAUCCUUGCAGUCAAUGCUGACUGGACUCAUCCUUCAGCCGCCCCCAAGAAGAGAGAGAUCAAUACCUUGGCACAUCUGUGGGAAAGCUCCCAUUAGAGAGUGUGGGGAAGACACAGGCCUCCACAACACAUUUCAGGUUCUCUAAACUGGCAAAGGGGAAGAGUCUGGGCUUCCUUUGCCCUUUUGUUCUCAAAGAGCCCAGCUGUGCACACCCCUCACCCCUGCACUAUAGCUCCCAUUUGGGUAGUGAAAAAUCACAGGACUCAGGGGAGUUAUGCAGCAUUCGGGAAUGGAGACCUGGAAAGCCACACACUCCUCCUUGCUUUCCUGUGAGCCUCUCUUCUUGCUGUCCCCUUUACAACCAACAGUCCCUGCAGGGGGAAGACACUCUGCUUUAGUCAGUUCCACCUCCCUUCCAGAUCUCAUCCUCCUUUCAGCCUAAUUUUCCUCACACUGUCAUGCUCCUUCCCACUGCUCGCCCCCCACCCCCUACUCUCCUCCAGCACAUCACACAUUGCGCCUGGGCACACUGAGCUUGUCUGCCAUCUAUGAAGAGGCCCAUGUCACCCAAGCCCUUCUCUUUCCCUGUCAUGCCAUAGCCUCUUCCAGGAGCGCUCAGCCUGCUGUUUCUGCUCAGACCUCCCCUCCUCUGCAAAGCCUCCUUCUGCGUGCUGCCCGAGAGCCAUCCCCCACUUGGGUUUGUGUUACUGCUGUGUAUGGCAGCAUCUUCACUGUGCCUGAUUUCCCGUCUUGGCCCAUCGUAGGUGCUCAACAAUUGUUUCUCAAAUGACCAGCGCCUGCAGAGGGACCCUGACAUGAACUCCACCCCACCCCGACUCUUGGCAGUUACUCACUGUCCCCUUGAGUCGGGAUCCCAGCCCCUCAGGGGACCUGUCUUGCAGCCAUUCCACGCUCUGUCACCCCACUGCCAGGAGACUAGAGCCACACUGCCUGGAUGACGCUCAUCUUUACCAGCUCGCAGCUCUGCCAGCUGCCUGCUCAGGGGUGGCCGCCAGCUGAGGGAUUGAGCUGAUUAUAGGUGAAUCAGCACCAGGCUGAUUGUGGUGUGAAAAAGGGGAAGGGUGACUGUGUCUUAGCCUCAAUCCUGGCUCCCCUCCUUCCAGCCCUGACCUGCAGUAACAGCACAGGGCCACCAGAGGCUCUAUUGGGCGACUCAUGCCCCGCGGAGAAAGGCCCAGUAGGAGAGCAUCUGACCCAGUUCCCAGCAGAUGAGAAAGGAAGAAGAGUUCAGGAGGCUUCUACUCUCAGAGGUCUCCAGCACUGAAACCCCGCAGCCGCACCUGGCUGCCUUAUCCUUGUGUUUUGCCCCUCAUGGGUCUAGAAGCUGUUGUGUUACACCUUAACAUCUUCCUCCUUGCUUGCCAUGAGCCCCUCUGCUUGCAGCCCCCUUUACAGAACAACAGUCAUGGUAGAGGGAAGAUGUCUCCACUUUUGUCAGUUCUGCCUCCUUUAGGAGAGUGUCAGGCCUAACCCAUGUGUGCUCUGUCUUUCAGGGCAUGGAAAAGACUAUUGUCCUGUUUCGUCUUUUCAACACCUCUUGACUCUCUCCCCCUGGUUUCCUAACAGCCAGCUAGGUUCAGGGCCUCCCAUCUCUGGCCAGGAUUAGUGCAAUGGCUUUCUGAAGGGUCCCAGGCUCCAGGGAGCCCCUUGCCCAUCAAGUCUCUACCCUGGAGCCAGACAGCCCUUACUUCCAUCAGACAUCAGCCUCCAGUGGCUCCGAAAGGCCAGGCAUCCACACAGCACCCCACGGCCCCAAGAACUGGCUGCUUGAUUUUCCUGCCCUGUGUCCCUCCUCUCCUUGGCCCUCUACCCAGCAAUCACCCCAAAACACUGUGAUGUUUCAAGCCUUUGUACUUUGCACACAUUCUUCUCCAUGGCCUAAUUCCCUCUCUCCACCCCUCACUCCACACCUCCUCCACCUUUACCCUUUCUCCCCAUUCUUUCUUCACCGGGCACAGCCCUACUUAUCCUUCAAAACUGCCACUUCCUCUGCGAAGCCUUUCCUGACCCGUGUCCCAGAAUCCCUCCUCUGAACAAAUCCUGUUCCCUAAACAUGCAUCUCUCAUUGUAUCUGUCACUCAAGGGUUGCAAUAAUUACACACACGCCUGUCCUUUGUCCUCCACUGGCUCUGUACCUCCAUGUGGGACCCAUGGCCAGCACACAUUGGUGGUGCCCGAAAGCUGUUGCACUGGAGUUGUUCCUUCUGCCCCAUCACCUCCCACCUUGAACAAGUCCUUUAGAUGACCUGAACUCCAGUUUGUUGAUCUGCAAAAUGGAGAGAUGUGAGAAUCAGAAGAGAACACGUAAUGAAAGGGUGUUAUAAACUGCUAAGGGCUGUACAAAUGUUUGUAUUGCAUUUUUGUCUUCCAGACUAGUGUUUACCUACACUUGCCUGUGUGGAAAUCAGAAGAUUAAAGGAAUGCGAUGUGAUCUUUUUGUAAUUUCCCCACUUGGGUCAAGGGAAAAGCUGGUCAAGAGUAAACCAUUAAUUCAUCCCCCUGCAGGCCCCCCAAUCUUCCCUAGAAUUCUGGGUUAAUGAUUCUGAGGUUGUUUUCCUCACAGAGCCAAUUCAUAUCUAAUCUUUGGCAUGUUCCCCCCUUUAUUAAGAAUAACUUGACUCACCCCAUUAAUUCCUCAUCCUGGGGUCACGAGCCUUGUUUUGCAGAAGGAAAUGGUGGCUGUGUGUAUGUCUUGGGCCUUCUUUCUUUCUCAAACCCCUUUCUUUCAUGGAUUCAUGCCUACAAUUCCCUCUGUGGACAGAAGAGACCUCUCCUUACCUGCAUAAUGAAAUGUGUGACUUUUCUCAAAAGUAGCUUUAGGAAUUAACUGUGGAGGUCCAAGUAGCAAGGAUGCUGUGACCUAACUCGUUACCCCCUCACGUGUGGUUUGGAAUCCCAGCAGAAAAAAUUUCCUGAAGAUCUGGUACGGAGAAACCAUUCUGGGCCUGGCUUUUAAAUGUUUUAUUAGCAGCUGGGCGAGGACUGGGCUGCAAAGAGAUGCAGCCCCCGUCAGAAGCGAUCCCUGUUGGGGAGCAAGGCCUGGAAUUCCAGGAGGGAGGUCUGUUUAUAGCUGAGGCAGAGGCUGGGGAGCGAAGCCUGGGAGCCAGACAUGGCUUAAGGGUGGUCUGGACACUCUUGAGAUAAGGCCAACUAAGGACUAUGAGCUCAUUGAAGUUCCAAAGCCAACUCACAGCAGCUCACCACCAGACAUGUCCCCUGCCCCCACAUUCCCUCCUCUCAAUCCAGGAAUUUUGGUGCUCAUCUCUAUAAAGUUUUAGACCAUGGUGGUAGGAACCUGGUAAGUCUCAGGUUCUUGCAUUGCCCGAUUCUCCUUGGAUUUGCUGGGUUUGCCUCCUUCCCAUGUCUCAGACAGGGCUUUGCAUAAAGAAGUGGGCUGGUAGAUCUGCAAAGGUCCCUCUGUGUGACUGGAGCAAGUUACCCUCUUGAGCCUCAGUGUCCUCUUCUGUAAAAUAGGGAUAUCAUUCUUUCUUUCCCAAGGCUUUUGGUAAUAAUGUCAUUCUCAUGUGAUUCUUAACAAAAUGGGCCUUUCAGACUUAGAUCACUUUUGUGCAUGCAUAAAAAUGAAAGCAUUGAGGAGAAGGAAUUGGUGAAUAUAUGUCUGGAGCAAUAACUUCAUCAGAACUGCCACGGUGGUUGUAGGACCAUUCUGAUUCCAGAGGUAUUAAAAUGCAAAACACAAUGUUGAAAUGCAAAACCCAACAAAAUAAUAAACAGCCUUGUACCUACCGCCUCCCUUAAGAACUAAAACAAUUCCCAACACCACUGAAAGACUGUGUUCACCUCCUUGAUCCAAUCUCUUGCCUUUCCACCCCAGAGAAAACCACUGUCCUGAAUUUUUUCCCACUCCCUUGGUUUUGUUUUACCAAACAUGUAUCCAAUAUGUAACAUAUUAUUUGUAUUUGAUCUUGUUUUUGAAUUGUCCUGUAGGUAGAAUUAUAUCUUAUUCUGCAAUUUGCUUUUUAAAGUUUUUGAAAGAGCAAAACUUAUCUAUGCUAAUACGCUAAUGUGUGUAGCUGCCAUUUAUUUGUCACUGCAUAUACCCCUCUCAAUUCUGUUGAUGGAAAUUUAGGCAGUUUCCAGUAUUAUUUUGCUACAAACAUUCUCAUGGCUGUCUCCUGCAACAUGUGUGUUUCUUGGGAGUAUAC
Molecule: long non-coding RNA, 10032 nt
Filed under: Homo sapiens (human)
Lineage: Eukaryota; Metazoa; Chordata; Mammalia; Primates; Hominidae
Description: HSALNT0021468
Source: RNAcentral